GGGAACCGAGCGAAAAGACUA
Molecule: microRNA, 21 nt
Filed under: Gadus morhua (Atlantic cod)
Lineage: Eukaryota; Metazoa; Chordata; Actinopteri; Gadiformes; Gadidae
Description: gmo-miR-11204b-3p
Source: miRBase by way of RNAcentral